RNAcentral lists this unclassified non-coding RNA (231 nucleotides) under fungal sp. RNAcentral describes it as "partial internal transcribed spacer region". The stretch from base 1 to 46 matches the Rfam family "Eukaryotic small subunit ribosomal RNA", at positions 1786 to 1831 of the family's 1831-position model. The record is from RNAcentral. Lineage: Eukaryota; Fungi.
AAGUCGUAACAAGGUUUCCGUAGGUGAACCUGCGGAAGGAUCAUUAAAAAGGGAUACCGGGCAACCGGUAGACCCCACCCGUGUCUCUCUACUCUUGUUGCUUUGGCAGGCCGUGGCCUCCACCGCGGGCUCCGCCUGCGUGUGCCUGCCAGAGGACCAAACUCUGAAUUUUAGUGAUGUCUGAGUACUAUAUAAUAGUUAAAACUUUCAACAACGGAUCUCUUGGUUCUG